UGCGUUCGAACCAAUCGGAGAAAUAUUAUUUGUCCUACCUUUCUGUCUCCUUCUCUCUCUCUCUCUCUCCCCCCUCUCUCACUCAUUUCUUCUGUUCAAGUAAACAAAUGAAUUUAUAAACAGAACGACCUAUUUAAUCUAAUUCGGCAUCGAGCAUCCGAACAGACGACAUCGUUCCGAAUCCAAAGAAAAAGGGACACACGAAGAGGAGGUGUAUCAACUGGCGCGUUACCUUCGAAGGGUAGAAAGAUAUGCCAGGAGGAGGAGGAGGAGGAGGAGGAGAUGGAGGACAAUAUAAAAAGUGGGAGAGAUAGUCGCGUAUCAAAACCGCAGAAUAAAUGGAUUCUCCGAACUCGUCGAUGAGGUAUGAACAUUCAUUUAAUUCCAACGAAUGAAACUUGCUGCUGACCUCACCUGAAUAUAGUCCGAUAAUGGAAGGAAGAGGAAGAGGAUUAAAUGCACUAGAGGAAUAGGAAGAGCAAGAGGAGGAGGAGGAGGAGGAGGAGGAGAAGGUGAAAGAGGAGAAGUUAUCACCGAACGAUCUUUCACGAACGAAUUAGCUACGACAUAAUCGACAAGGGGAGAACCGAUCUUCUAGGAUAAUUGCUAAAUUUAUGAUGGCACGAACGAGAAUCGAUUAUAAUUAAAAUCAAUUUCUGCGGUCUACCGUAUGUAUGUAAGUCCUAAGUAAUAUGUAUUAUCCUAUUUAGUCCGGCAGUUAUGCUAUGUAAUUAUUUCCGUUCGAUUAUUAACGAAACCACAUGUUAAUUGACAUUUUCAAAAUGUAAUACGAAGAUCAUCACGUACGUAUGUACAUAAGUAUGUACACAUUAUGUACGUACGUACAUAAGUUUACUCAUAGUGAAAAUAAGAAAAUUAUUAUCCUUCGUAAACGAUAAAAUGUAUUUCUAUAUAAAUUGCUUUCGUCGUUUCAAUAAAAACACGAAAGUCACGUUUAUUUCUCUCGAGAGAAAUCGUACCUUAUUAAUUAAUAAAUAUUAUUUGAGAAAUCUAUGUCGCACCAUAUGUCUACUAUUAUCCAUAAGAGUCGUCUUCGUCUUGCAGGUGUUAUUAGUAAAAGGAACGUAUAUCUAAUGUACGCCAAGGAAAUUCUAUUUCCGUCUAACUAAGCAAACUGCUUUUAAUAAAAUAUUCGAUCGAUAAUAUA
This is a long non-coding RNA of Vespa crabro (European hornet), 1168 nucleotides long. RefSeq lists it as uncharacterized. NCBI's taxonomy places the organism in Eukaryota, Metazoa, Arthropoda, Insecta, Hymenoptera, Vespidae. The transcript has 2 exons. The record is from RefSeq and is a predicted model, not a curated record.